AGAGUUUGAUCAUGGCUCAGAGCGAACGCUGGCGGCGUACUUAACACAUGCAAGUCGAACGAGGAUCUUCGGUGUAGCAAUACAUUGGCGGUCCUAGUGGCGCACGGGUGAGUAACACGUGGGUGACCUGCCCUGGAGUUCGGGAUACCCCCUCGAAAGGGGGGCUAAUACCGGAUACGUUCCUCGGUUGAAAGAUCGGGGAGGAAAGGUGGCGUAAGCUACCGCUCCUGGAGGGGCUCGCGGCCUAUCAGCUAGUUGGCGGGGUAACGGCCCACCAAGGCUAUGACGGGUAGCUGGUCUGAGAGGACGACCAGCCACACGGGGACUGAGACACGGCCCCGACUCCUACGGGAGGCAGCAGUAAGGAAUAUUGGUCAAUGGACGCAAGUCUGAACCAGCCAUGCCGCGUGAAGGAUGAAAGUCCUCUGGAUUGUAAACUUCUUUUACAGGGGAAGAAACCUCUUGAUUCCUCAAGAGUUGACGGUACCCUGGGAAUAAGCACCGGCUAACUCCGUGCCAGCAGCCGCGGUAAUAC
RNAcentral lists this ribosomal RNA (535 nucleotides) under uncultured bacterium. RNAcentral describes it as "bacterial SSU rRNA". It matches the Rfam family "Bacterial small subunit ribosomal RNA", at positions 8 to 526 of the family's 1533-position model. The record is from RNAcentral.